UUGAACGCUGGCGGAAUGCUUUACACAUGCAAGUCGCGCGGCAGCGCGGGGGCAACCCUGGCGGCGAGCGGCGAACGGGUGAGUAACACAUCGGAACGUACCCUGUCGUGGGGGAUAACACAUCGAAAGAUGUGCUAAUACCGCAUACGACCUGAGGGUGAAAGCGGGGGAUCGCAAGACCUCGCGCGAUAGGAGCGGCCGAUGUCGGAUUAGCUAGUUGGUGAGGUAAAGGCUCACCAAGGCGACGAUCCGUAGCUGGUCUGAGAGGACGACCAGCCACACUGGAACUGAGACACGGUCCAGACUCCUACGGGAGGCAGCAGUGGGGAAUUUUGGACAAUGGGGGCAACCCUGAUCCAGCCAUUCCGCGUGAGUGAAGAAGGCCUUCGGGUUGUAAAACUCGUUCAGCCGGAAAGAAAUCGCGCAGGCUAAUACUCUGCGUGGAUGACGGUACCGGAAGAAGAAGCACCGGCUAACUACGU
RNAcentral lists this ribosomal RNA (482 nucleotides) under uncultured bacterium. Its description in RNAcentral is "bacterial SSU rRNA". It matches the Rfam family "Bacterial small subunit ribosomal RNA", at positions 29 to 506 of the family's 1533-position model. The record is from RNAcentral.